CUAGGUAUAAGCUUUCGUGUGCAUGCACACUUCUUCAGGUACUAUCUGAAGAAGUGUUGAUGCACACGAAAGCUUAUACCUGGAAA
This is a non-coding RNA of Podarcis lilfordi (Lilford's wall lizard), 86 nucleotides long. The record is from the annotation of a GenBank genome assembly. NCBI's taxonomy places the organism in Eukaryota, Metazoa, Chordata, Lepidosauria, Squamata, Lacertidae.